This 275-nucleotide ribosomal RNA is filed under the name Taenia hydatigena. RNAcentral's name for it is "partial 12S ribosomal RNA". The record is from RNAcentral. Lineage: Eukaryota; Metazoa; Platyhelminthes; Cestoda; Cyclophyllidea; Taeniidae.
AAAAUAAUUUGGCAGUGAGCGACUCUUUUUAGGGGAAGGUGUGGUGUAAAGGAUGUUCCGCCUAAUAAUUUACUUUCGUUAUGUUGGUGUAUAUCUGGUUUAAUAUUAUCGUUGAGUAAGUGAGUUUGUGUAGUUUUAUUUAAGCCAAGUCUAUGUGCUGCUUAUGAAAGUAUUCAUGCGUUACAUUUAUAAGGUUUUGGUUGUAAUACUAAAAUAUUUAGGACUUAAAAGUAAUGUUCAAUAAGUUUGUGAGUGUGAAGUAAGUUUAGCUCAGG